GGGGAUAACACUUGGAAACAGGUGCUAAUACCGCAUAAUAGUCGACACCGCAUGGUGUUGAUUUGAAAGACGCUUUCGGGUGUCACUGAUGGAUGGACCCGCGGUGCAUUAGCUAGUUGGUGAGGUAACGGCUCACCAAGGCGAUGAUGCAUAGCCGACCUGAGAGGGUGAUCGGCCACACUGGGACUGAGACACGGCCCAGACUCCUACGGGAGGCAGCAGUAGGGAAUCUUCGGCAAUGGACGAAAGUCUGACCGAGCAACGCCGCGUGAGUGAAGAAGGUUUUCGGAUCGUAAAACUCUGUUGUUAGAGAAGAACAAGUAGGAGAGUAACUGCUCUUACCUUGACGGUAUCUAACCAGAAAGCCACGGCCAACUACGUGCCAGCAGCCGCGGUAAUACGUAGGUGGCAAGCGUUGUCCGGAUUUAUUGGGCGUAAAGCGAGCGCARGCGGUUUCUUAAGUCUGAUGUGAAAGCCCCCGGCUCAACCGGGGAGGGUCAUUG
This 503-nucleotide ribosomal RNA is filed under the name uncultured bacterium. RNAcentral's name for it is "bacterial SSU rRNA". It matches the Rfam family "Bacterial small subunit ribosomal RNA", at positions 139 to 628 of the family's 1533-position model. The record is from RNAcentral.